This 467-nucleotide ribosomal RNA is filed under the name uncultured bacterium. Its description in RNAcentral is "partial 16S ribosomal RNA". It matches the Rfam family "Bacterial small subunit ribosomal RNA", at positions 28 to 507 of the family's 1533-position model. The record is from RNAcentral.
GACGAACGCUGGCGGCGUGCUUAACACAUGCAAGUCGAACGGAAAGGCCCUGCUUUUGUGGGGUGCUCGAGUGGCGAACGGGUGAGUAACACGUGAGUAACCUGCCCUUUACUUUGGGAUAACUUCAGGAAACUGGGGCUAAUACCGGAUAGGAGCUCCUGCUGCAUGGGGGGGGUUGGAAAGUUUCGGCGGUUGGGGAUGUACUCGGGGCUUAUCAGCUUGUUGGGGGGGUGGUGGCUUACCAAGGCUUGGACGGGUGGCCGGCCUGGCAGGGUGACCGGCCCCAUGGGCCGUGGGAGGCGGCCGAGGGGCAUAUUGGGGGAAGGGGGGGGGACUAUGCCAAAAGGGGCGGAGGCGUGAAGAAGGAUCGCCGGGUGCGGAAGGACGGCGUUCGGGUGGAAAGGGGGUUAGGCUGGGAAGGAGGGGUAGUGACGGUAACUGGGGAAAAAGGCACGGCUAACUACGUG